AUAAAAUUCUUCUUCAGGGUAAGAUUCCCUUGUUGAAGUGACAUGGUGCAGAAUCUCAGACAGAGGUAGGGUUGUCUGUGAUGGACAACAAAUAAAUCAUCUCUGCAGUCUCGCACUUUUCCCAGUAUUUUUCUGUCAGGACGGGUUUGAUUGUUGUCCAUUGCUUUUACCUUAGGUUGGACUUCCCUUCAUCAGUAUCUCUUUAAAUGGAGUUCUCCAAGAAUGAAAUCAUCGUGCAAUCAUUAUUAUCUACUGCUGGACGCUUUGGAGCUCCUCAAUGCUUCACGAUAGUUCUAGUUUGGGUUCCUU
Molecule: long non-coding RNA, 309 nt
Filed under: Solanum tuberosum (potato)
Lineage: Eukaryota; Viridiplantae; Streptophyta; Magnoliopsida; Solanales; Solanaceae
Description: long non-coding RNA (STUB_LNC008355)
Source: RNAcentral